UCUGUUUUGAUAGUUAAUUAACACAUUGUCGAAAAAGAUGAUAAAAUAUUGUUUAUCGUUUAUUUUAUUAAAAUUUUGAUCUAAAAAGACUUUUAACACUGCAUUCUCUAGUUUUUUUUUUAAAGGAUAAGAAAAGAAAAUAGAGGAAAAUUUUUAAUUUUUACAUUCUUGAGUUUAUUUUAGAAAAGAAAAGAAAAUGAAUGAUUGGAAAAGUAGGGGGGUUUUGGCUUCAAUAUUUUCUCUCCAAAAAUGGCCUGAUUUGAAUGGAAAACAAUCAUCCAAAUGUGAAAUUAUCAAUAUAUCCCUCUAUCAAACACUUUCAUUUUUAGGGUUUCAUACGAUUCUCCAGUUUUUGCAGCAACUGAAAAUAUACUCCUUUCAAUGACCGAACUGGACUUUAGAUCAAAAGGCAGUAUCAAAGUAAACAAUGACCGCAGGACAUUAAAAGAACGGAACUGGCGCAGGAUAUGGAAAGCAACUGGGCACUUUGUCAAAUGUUGAAGUAUCUGUAUCAGUACAUGGAAGUAUUAGAAUGAGGACAAUAUUGUAAAGUUACAAAAAAGUUUUUUUUUAUUUUUUCAUUCAAUCUAACUCAAAAAUGUAAUUAAUAUUUUCUUUUCUUUUAUUUUUCUUUAACUCGAGAAUGCCUCUAAACUAUGUAAUUUCUUUUCUUCUCUUUCCCUAUUCAAUCUUAUCAUUUCCUUUCUUUUAUAUA
This is a long non-coding RNA of Erigeron canadensis, 715 nucleotides long. RefSeq lists it as uncharacterized. The transcript has 2 exons. NCBI's taxonomy places the organism in Eukaryota, Viridiplantae, Streptophyta, Magnoliopsida, Asterales, Asteraceae. The record is from RefSeq and is a predicted model, not a curated record.